Molecule: ribosomal RNA, 292 nt
Filed under: uncultured bacterium
Lineage: Bacteria
Description: partial 16S ribosomal RNA
Rfam family: Bacterial small subunit ribosomal RNA
Source: RNAcentral
GUGCCAGCCGCCGCGGUAAAACGGAGGGUGCAAGCGUUGUUCGGAAUUACUGGGCGUAAAGCGCGUGCAGGUGGUCUUUUAAGUUUCGUGUGAAAUCCCACGGCUUAACCGUGGAACGGCACGGAAAACUGGAAGACUUGAAUACGGGAGAAGAGGGCGGAAUUCCCAGUGUAGAGGUGAAAUUCGUAGAUAUUGGGAGGAACACCGGUGGCGAAAGCGGCUCUCUAGACCGAUAUUGACGCUCAUACGCGAGAGCGUGGGUAGCAAACAGGAUUAGAUACCCUUGUAGUCC